RNAcentral lists this transfer RNA (73 nucleotides) under Ursus americanus (American black bear). It matches the Rfam family "tRNA". From Rfam's summary of the family: Transfer RNA (tRNA) molecules are approximately 80 nucleotides in length. Their secondary structure includes four short double-helical elements and three loops (D, anti-codon, and T loops). The record is from Rfam by way of RNAcentral. RNAcentral also lists the same sequence under 2 other names. Lineage: Eukaryota; Metazoa; Chordata; Mammalia; Carnivora; Ursidae.
ACCCGGCUGGCUCAGUCAGUAGAGCACGUGACUCCUGAUCUCAGGGUUGUGAGUUCAAGUCCCACGAUGGGUG